AUCGGCCGAUAAUAGCCCUGCGCUGUCUGGAGAGCUCAGCCCAUGGCGGCCCGUGAUUUGACAGAGCAGGACGCUGAUUUAAUUAGGAGGCCAUUUGCUCCGUGUUCCGGUGGAGGAUAACUGUGCUGCAGGAGGGUGUUUGAUAUCUGUAUCAGUCAAUACCUUCUCCUUGCCUUACACUGUACACCCAGGGAGACCUGCUGAGAGAUAUUUCUGGGUAACUCUUCUUGAGUCGAUGUUAAUUUCCUUCUUGUUGAUUGGCUAAAAAAACCUGGAAGCUGCUUUGGUGGAUUUGUUUUUCUUAAACUGGCAAAACCUCCCGCUUUUUCUUUCUUUGAGGAGCAGGUGCACAGAAGGUUUAGCUGGCAUCAGAUCUAUCCUGGGAGAUUUAGAUCCGUGUGAUCAGUUUUUUUGUUUUUUUUUUGUUUGCUCUUGGCUCCUCCUCUCCUGUAAGGGCUCAAAACGCACAACAUUACACACACCGACUUGAACCUCAGAAGAGACGUGACUCCAGCAUCUGAUCCGCUUUUUUUUUUCUCCCAUCACAGCUCCAUCAAGAAUGGAUCAAGAUGAGAACGUCAAGCCCCGGGAUGCUGCGCCCCUGUUCAUGCGCUUCCUCCGGACACUCAAGGAACUCCUCAAAUUUGUCCUCCUCAGCUACACGGUGAUCUUCGGUGCUCUGCUCCUGGCCAGGUGGACCACUUACUUUAUAGUGGGAAAGUAAAAGGAGCUGAACAAUGAGCUUCUUCCUGCAUUUAGAGCAGAGACUGAUUAAACCAACCUUCCCGGGAUUAAAUGUCUGACGCAGUUGCUACAAAACGAGCAAUAGCAGGAAGGAUUUGAAAUAUUUCUUUCCUCUCUCUGUGAUUUGCACUCUCUGUUAUUGUCUGCUUUU
This is a long non-coding RNA of Fundulus heteroclitus (mummichog), 895 nucleotides long. RefSeq lists it as uncharacterized. Lineage: Eukaryota; Metazoa; Chordata; Actinopteri; Cyprinodontiformes; Fundulidae. The record is from RefSeq and is a predicted model, not a curated record. The transcript is spliced from 2 exons.